This 279-nucleotide ribosomal RNA is filed under the name uncultured bacterium. RNAcentral's name for it is "partial 16S ribosomal RNA". It matches the Rfam family "Bacterial small subunit ribosomal RNA", at positions 506 to 784 of the family's 1533-position model. The record is from RNAcentral.
UGCCAGCCGCCGCGGUAACACGGGGGGCGCAAGCGUUAUUCGGAAUUAUUGGGCGUAAAGCGCGUGUAGGCGGUUCGUUAAGUCUGAUGUGAAAGCCCGGGGCUCAACCCCGGAAGUGCAUUGGAAACUGGCGAACUUGAGUAUGGGAGAGGAAAGUGGAAUUCCGAGUGUAGGAGUGAAAUCCGUAGAUAUUCGAAGGAACAUCAGUGGCGAAGGCGGCCACCAGGACUGACACUGGCGCUGAGGUGCGAAAGUGUGGGGAGCAAACAGGAUUAGAUA